UACGUAGGGUGCAAGCGUUGUCCGGAAUUAUUGGGCGUAAAGGGCUCGUAGGCGGUCCAUCGCGUCGGGAGUGAAAAGCUGGGGCUUAACCCCAGUCCUGCUUCCGAUACGGGUGGACUAGAGGUAGGUAGGGGAGAUCGGAAUUCCUGGUGUAGCGGUGAAAUGCGCAGAUAUCAGGAGGAACACCGGUGGCGAAGGCGGCAUCCUGGACCGAGAUUGACACUGAUGAGCGAAAGCUAGGGGAGCAAACGGG
This 253-nucleotide ribosomal RNA is filed under the name uncultured bacterium. RNAcentral's name for it is "partial 16S ribosomal RNA". It matches the Rfam family "Bacterial small subunit ribosomal RNA", at positions 524 to 776 of the family's 1533-position model. The record is from RNAcentral.